RNAcentral lists this ribosomal RNA (440 nucleotides) under uncultured bacterium. RNAcentral describes it as "partial 16S ribosomal RNA". It matches the Rfam family "Bacterial small subunit ribosomal RNA", at positions 338 to 795 of the family's 1533-position model. The record is from RNAcentral.
CCUACGGGAGGCAGCAGUAGGGAAUCUUGCUCAAUGGGGGAAACCCUGAAGCAGCAACGCCGCGUGGAUGAUGAAGGUUUUAGGAUUGUAAACUCCUGUUGUGAGAGAAGAUAAUGACGGUGUCUCACGGAUAAGGACUGGCUAACUCCGUGCCAGCAGCCGCGGUAAUACGGAGGGUGAAAGCGUUACUCGGAAUGACUGGGCGUAAAGAGUUCGCAGGCGGGCUUGUAAGUCAGAUGUGAAAUCCUGUAGCUUAACUAAAGUACUGCAUUUGAAACUAGGAGUCUAGAGUGUGGGAGAGGUAGGUGGAAUUCUAGGUGUAGGGGUAAAAUGCGUAGAUAUAAAGAGGAAUACUCAUUGCGAAGGCGACCUACUGGAACAUUACUGACGCUGAUGCACGAAAGCGUGGGGAGCAAACAGGAUUAGAUACCCCAGUAGUC